Molecule: long non-coding RNA, 887 nt
Filed under: Triticum aestivum (bread wheat)
Lineage: Eukaryota; Viridiplantae; Streptophyta; Magnoliopsida; Poales; Poaceae
Description: long non-coding RNA (TAES_LNC020694)
Source: RNAcentral
ACAUGGACACCGGCUCUUCUGCAUUGUUUGUGAAAUAAGACUAUCUAUGUGCUCUCUCGUAUAUACUUGCACAUUUUUUACGUUUUGUUUCACACACUGCUGCAAAUAUUGGCUUGUCCCAUGAUGUAGUUGCACAAAAAUCAAUUAAAAUUUCACAGGUACAAGAUCUCCCUUUUCUUUAUCUUUGUUUAUGCUCUGUUAAACUAUGGAGAAGCUAAUUUUGCAAAGCUAAAUUUGGUGAGGGCCUGAGGGGAAAAGGGAAAGUCAAGGAGGGAGGAUCUGAAUAAGAGGAGAAAAGGAUCACCACUUUUUUCACCCUUGUUGGUGCUACCUGGUACAUUCUGUUAUGUCCUCCCACUUUCUUCUUUUUUCCACAGCAAAUUGUUCAAGAUCUGCUAUUAUUUCAUUUUGAUUCAUCUGCCAUGGCAGCCCUGGCGAUGGAGAUCCAGACUUGGGAGACCAUUGUUUCAUGGGGAAGAAGGUGGGUGCAUGCAAGGGCGGGGAAAAGGUUGGUGGCCAUGGAGCGUGAGUGCUUCAGAGGGAGGGAAGGGCACGUGAUGGCCUGGGGACCAUGUCCAGUGUGUGGCUUGUUGGGUUGACUCACAUCUGUUGCUACCACGGGAGCGCUUUCCUUUUUGGGAUGGGGGGACCGAAUCUUUCCUUUUUCUGACGGCCGCCCGGGAGCGCUAGCGAGCCAAUGGGCGCUCGCUAGACGCGUCCUUUAUUUUUUACUAGUAGAACCCUGUGCAUUGCCACUUGCCACGGACUCUAAAAAACUAUGCUACUCACUGAGCUACAAUAACCGAGAACAAUGCACAUCUCAGCUAGCACCUUUUUUUUAGAGUCAGUUAACACACAUCAUACCAUCAAAGAAAAUAAUAAUUGAC